RNAcentral lists this ribosomal RNA (465 nucleotides) under Vreelandella stevensii. RNAcentral describes it as "partial 16S ribosomal RNA". It matches the Rfam family "Bacterial small subunit ribosomal RNA", at positions 338 to 795 of the family's 1533-position model. Lineage: Bacteria; Pseudomonadati; Pseudomonadota; Gammaproteobacteria; Oceanospirillales; Halomonadaceae. The record is from RNAcentral.
CCUACGGGAGGCAGCAGUGGGGAAUAUUGGACAAUGGGGGCAACCCUGAUCCAGCCAUGUCGCGUGUGUGAAGAAGGCCCUCGGGUUGUAAAGCACUUUCAGUGAGGAAGAACGCCUGGUGGUUAAUACCCAUCAGGAAAGACAUCACUCACAGAAGAAGCACCGGCUAACUCCGUGCCAGCAGCCGCGGUAAUACGGAGGGUGCGAGCGUUAAUCGGAAUUACUGGGCGUAAAGCGCGCGUAGGUGGCUUGAUAAGCCGGUUGUGAAAGCCCCGGGCUCAACCUGGGAACGGCAUCCGGAACUGUCAAGCUAGAGUGCAGGAGAGGAAGGUAGAAUUCCCGGUGUAGCGGUGAAAUGCGUAGAGAUCGGGAGGAAUACCAGUGGCGAAGGCGGCCUUCUGGACUGACACUGACACUGAGGUGCGAAAGCGUGGGUAGCAAACAGGAUUAGAUACCCCUGUAGUC